GCCACGCCGCGCUGCUUGCCGUGCUUUAUUUUUUUCGUUUUUUGGUUGUCGCGUGAAAGCAAGAGGACGAAGCGCAAGACGCCACCGGCCGCCCCUUCCUGAAAAAAAGCCGGCAGCGUCAAAACUGCGCGCUCAGGACACCCACGAGAACACCGGCGAACUCCCAGCACGAUCUCGGCGGUCGACACCACUGCCGCAUGGACAAGGCUAGCGCCACGGAAGUGUACCAGCCGAGUGCCGCCCAGACAGCAGCGAGAAGCGACGACACAGCCCCAGCCGCAGCUAGCGCCAAGCCUCCCACGACAGCGGCUGACCAAGCACAAGGUCAUCAUGACGUCCUCCAAAAGACAGCGGACGUCGCCACCGCCCAAGACGCCACUCGUGGAGCAACUCAGGAACCAGCGAAGCCUUCAUCACCACAGGAGGUGGUUGGUGAUUCCGCAAGGACUGCACCGGAACCAUCAGUGAUUGCCGCCGGAGGGGGCGAGAAGCCAGUGUCUCCGGCGAAGAGCCCUUCGUCUGACGAGAAGAAAUCAUCCGGUGACGUCCCCAGUACAUAUCUUGAGCGAAAAAGAGUCUCUACCGAAGUGCCAGUAAAGACGCCUGUGAUGGAGGACAAAGCGGAACGAGUGGGACCAGAAAUGGAAUCGCAUGAGGUGUCUCAGCUGGCCCCAGUGGCCGAUCGAGACGGUGCAGUGCCUUCGCAAGAGAAGCAGCAAAAGCAACCCCAAAGUGAUAGUAGCGUAUCUAAGGAACCUGACAAGGACGUUGAAGCAGUGAAAGACAGUGAUGCGAAAGACAAGGCGGCAGAAGCCGUCCAAAAAUAUCACGAAACAUUGGAAGAGAAGACCGGUGCCAAAAGUGCAGACGUCACCGUGGCGGCCGGUGCGGCUCACGAAGAAACCCCAACGGCGCAAGCCAGUAGCGCAGCUCCGGAUGCAGCCCCAAGCGAACAAGCAAAAGCCACCUUGAGCGCUGCAGAGGUGGCCGAAGGCAAGACGGAGUACGCAAAGCCAUUUCUUACGGCGGCCGGAUUGUCCCCCGAGACGUGUAAAUCUGUCGCGGACGCCGGCACUAAGCCUCCGCAGGAACAUGUGAGUCCCAGUGGAGACGGCGAGAGUUUACGACCCGCUGAAGAUGCUAAACAGCUGGUUCCGGACGACACUAGGCCCAAAUCUUCCAUUCCGCCACCACCAGUAUACGAGGCACCACCAAGGACUAGCUCGGGAAAGGAUAAUGCAAAAGAGCGACAGGAAACUGAGGAGGUCGAACGGCAAAAGGCCCAAACACCGGAAUCCCCAGUGGAUAGACUAAAAGAAAAUAGUCCUUUAGUGGCAACGGGGCUGCAAGAAGUGGACGAAUCAAUUAUGCCAAUGACGGCGUGCCAUACUGGCAUGAUGGAGAUGACGUACCCGGAUGCAAUACGGAAAGAAUCGGCGCCUAGAGAAGCAUACUCCAGCGGCGCCAGUGCAUUAAACGAUCUAUUAGACGAGGAAGCAAUCAGAGCGCAGUUAUACCCUUCCGAUCUGAAUGAAACGAAAGCAGAGGAAGCCAGCAAACCGCAUUCCGCAGCAAAUAAGGCCGAGAAGAGUUUGGGCGACAGUCAUCUGAAGUCCACCGUGUCAGGUGCAGAACCAGACGCCAAAACAGACGCAAAUCCCAAAAAAGAGCACGAUGAAUCUCGAGUUGCUGGUGGUGCUGAUGAGAAAGUAGGUGAGCAGCGAAAAUCAUCAGUGGUGGAAGCUUCCCAGGAAGAAACGGUUAUAGCUAGCAAAGAGGUCACUAAAGAAGAGAAGCCUGAGAAAAACGAGACAGAAGUGUUUCCCUCACCUGCUACUACGCAACAAACGGAAGCACCUCAAAAAGAAGAGAAAGCAGCCGGCAAAGUCGAAAACGUCGAUGACACGACGUCAGGUAAAAAGCCUGAAGCUGCUAUUCAGGAAAGCAAGGUCACCGAAACGGCUCCGCCAAAGGAUAGUGUCGAACGAAAGGAGGAGAAGGCGAUAGAUGCCGACAUUGAAGAGGAGCAGAAGGAAAAAAAUGCAGAAAAAGUCGAGAACGUUGCCAUGGACGAUGACUCUAAAGAGGUAGGUGCCUCAGAUGCUGCAGAGAAGUCCAGCGAGCCUGGUUCGGCGAAGGAAGAAACCACGCAAGUUCAUGAUGUCGCCGCAGAGAGUGACAAGCCGUUGAAGGAAGCCGAACGCGCUAACGAAGACGAUGCAGAAAAAGACACGUACAAACCUGCGGAUUCUCUGGAACCGGGCGUCAGUGGGCAGUUACAAGCACAGGAAACCGGAGACACCUUGUCGAAAGAAAAAGUAGUGACUGAAAACGUACCAAAGGAGGUAGCGAGGGAGCCAGAUGAGCUCGAAGUUCGAGAGCUUCCUCCAGAAGAAAUAGAAAAGAAAGACGAGGGUACUGCAAAAGAACAAGCUGCAGAGCCAAAAGUUGCAGAAGCUGUGUCAAAGCCAGAGGACAAAGGAAAAGAAACUAAGUUGGUGGAAGAAACAGUAGAGGGGCAAGUAGAAAAGGCAGUGUCAGAUGCUCCAGAAGAUGCUACUCCGGAAGAAGCUCCUGUCACUGCUCAAUCCAAAGAAGGCGUUCCAGAAGUGACCAAAGACAAAGCGGAAGUUUCUGAGGAAGCAGUAGUGAAGACAGACAAUGUUUCCUAUACUACAGCAGUCAAGGAAGAAGCAGCCCAACCCGAGUCUACAGAUGAGAGCGAAAAAGAAAAGACAGAAAAGGAAGCACCUGAAUCUGGCGACAAGGAGGCAAAAGAAGCAACAACAAAGAGUGAAGUUGAUGAAAAAGAAGGUGAGGAGCCAAGCAGUGUCAUGCCAGAGGAUAUUGAGGAAGUGACGGAACAGCAACCAAAGAGUGAAGGUGGUGAAGAAGCAGUCCCUGCCACUGAAGCUGCACCCGAAGCUACCAACGAAGAGAAGAAAGAUUCUGAACCUGCCGAAGAAAGUGAAAAGCCAGCGGUAGAAGCAGCGUCCGAGGCAAAGAGCGAAGAAACCAAUGACGGGGCAGCUCCUUCCGAACUCGAGUCAGCGCCGCCUGCAGAAGCAGUGAAAAAGAAGACCGGCUUGCCCAAAUCCCCGUCCAAGCGUGCGACGGGCAAAGGUCCACCGAAGACUCUCGACAAAAAGAGACUUCAGCAGCUGCGGAUGCAAAGGCCAAGACGCCCAGCUCUCCCAAGAAGCCCAGCAGCAUUCAGGAAAAGGGCGGGCCAUCGCCCAAGAAGGCUGCGCCGACCAAGAAUGGUGUCACCUCGCCAUCCAAGACGGCAAGGACACCGGGCUCCGAGCAGAAAAAACUGCCUCCGAUCAAGGCUCCUGUGGGACAAGCACCCAAGCCCGACCUGAAGAACGUGCGCUCCAAGAUCGGCUCGCUGGAAAACAUCAAGCACAAGCCUAAAGGCGGGGAAGUCAGGGUGACGACGCAGAAGCUGGAAUGGCGAGCCGCGUCCAAAGUGGGCUCUCUGGACAACGCGGCUCACAAGCCGGGAGGCGGAGACAAGAAGAUCCUCUCGCAAAAGCUCGAGUUCAAGGCGCAGUCGAAGGUCGGGUCGCUGGACAACGUCGACCACAAGCCGGCCGGUGGCCAAGUGAAGGUGGAGACUCAAAAACUGGACUUCAAGGACAAGGCGUCGUCCAAGGUUGGCUCCUUGGACAACGUCAAGCACAAAGCGGGCGGCGGCAAUGUAAAGAUCUUGUCGGAGAAGCUCGAGUUCAAGGAAAGGGCAGCUUCGAAGAUUGGCUCCUUACCAGCCUCGGAUGCGGGAAGCACAAGAGGCUCGGAAUCGCUAAGUCCCACAAACCUGACCAGUCCUCACCCGGCGCAGUCGCAGCAAAGCCAGGAGGACGACGUUGCUGCCAAUGGCCAUGAGUCGGACAUCUCUCCCACCAAGGAGGAAGUGG
This 3920-nucleotide unclassified non-coding RNA is filed under the name Rhipicephalus microplus (southern cattle tick). RNAcentral describes it as "microtubule-associated protein tau-like, transcript variant X1". The record is from RNAcentral. Lineage: Eukaryota; Metazoa; Arthropoda; Arachnida; Ixodida; Ixodidae.